Molecule: non-coding RNA, 2247 nt
Organism: Coturnix japonica (Japanese quail)
Lineage: Eukaryota; Metazoa; Chordata; Aves; Galliformes; Phasianidae
Source: RefSeq, a predicted model, not a curated record
GAGGCGCGGGGGCUGCCCGCGUGUCCGGUGGGGUCGUGCCUCCCGUUGGAUGAAGCCGCGCCGGGGCUCCGCCAAGGGCGCCCAGGGAAGCUCCGUGAGGCGCGGACGGAGCCGCGAGGUCCCGCGGAAGCUCCGGAGCCGCCCGAAAGGCAGCUUCGAACGGGAGGAGCGGGCGGAACGGCUCGGCGGCUCGAUUCAAACGCGGAACCGCCCUAGGGAGCCAUGCUGAAACUUGGGCCGCUCGCCCAGCGGCGGUUGGAGGGGAGGGCCGCGCCCCGGGGCUGCUCAAUGCCGUGCCCGGCAGGGAGCCGGCCAAGGCCGGGAGGCUGCGGGCCUCGGAGCGCCCCGACCGGGAUCAGGGGUGCUCGUCGGGCGCCGAAAGGAAGGGCUUAGUGUGCUGCCAGGUCCGUGAGGUGGCGAAACAGCACCGGCUCUCACUUGGUAUUUGUGAAUGCUGAAUGACAGGUCCUCGUUUCUUGCCUUCGUGAUUAAAAACUUAAGGUUCAGGGGAUCAUUGUACCGCUCCCCACGGUGCUACCGCUGGGUCUGUUGCCAGGUAGCCUCUAACAGUCUUCGUUAAAGCGUUUCUGUUCUUUGCUUUCCUUUUUUUUCAGUUGAACCAACUUGAAUACCUUCAAACUUUCUUGUUGUGGGAGCCCCCUCCUGCGUCGGUUUGCUCAUGGUUUUGUUUUUUUUUCAGACUGUUUUGCUUUGAAUUCUGCUGCCACCCUGGCAGUUAGAAACGGUAAUUCCCUUGAGGAGCUGGCUGGUGCAGAGCUGCCUGUGCUCAUGGAAGCAGACAGCUUUGGAACUCUGAAGAGCAUAACCAGAGCAGAUUGUGGCUGUCUGUUUCCAACAGAGGCAGCACUUAAAGCACAGCACAGUAAAGAACUUCCAAGAUUAUUAGCUACACCCUUUGGAAGGAGACUAGACGAGCUUAUCCUUGGGGAGGCGAUAUUGGAAGCCAUGAGUAGGUGUGGGAAAAAUCUCUUUAUCUCUCUGCGGAAGGACAGCCAUGCUUUAAUGGUUUCUGAGACGUGACCUACUGUCCGGGAUAUAUGGAGAAGACUCUGUUCAGUUUGUGUGGAAUAAGCUCUUCUUUUUGCAACCUGCAUUCGGUCCCCACCUUUCAAUGGGGCUGACUGCCACCUUAGUGAAUGCAGAUGAGGAGAAUUCUGUGGAGGAUGUCUGAACAGAAUGCUUUGGUCUGACUGCUGCAGAUCGAGACGGUGUGUUUGGAUCCUUCAAAUCCAGCUCAUUUGUUCUUAGUGCAGCUAAAUAGGAUUCCUAUCACUUUGCAGGGUGAGGUAGGGACGGGUGUGAAGUUGUCGCUCCAGAGCAGAACUGUGCUCAGAAGGAGAAUGAUAAGAGCCUUUGAUGUGUGUGGGGACUGAUACCGUGAACUCGUAGGAAAUGAAGAGGCAGUUUUUGUUUGAUAGGUCAAAUACAAAGGUACAAAAUAGAUUCUACCUACACUUGUUCAUGUGUGUCUUGUCAGCUUGGCAUAAGUAAAUACAAUGUUGUUUGGCAGACCUCGUGCUGAUAGGGAUGUGGUUUUACAAGCCGGUCAUCGGUUGUCAUCUUAAACAUUUUAUGUCUAAGCAGAUAAUUACCACCACGGUUUCAGCAUUUGCUUUCUACCUGUCCCCAAAGCAAUGAAGGUAAACUUCCAUACAGAGCUUUUGUUGUUAGAAAAAAUACGUGCACAGAGAGCUUACAGACUGGAAUUCAGUCUUUCACACUAAAUAAGUCCAGUGAGAGUAAAACAUGAGUGAUUUUGUAUUUUAGUAAUGUACCAUAGUGAAGUACUAGAAAGCCAAGUGCACGCCAGGUUCUGUACCGGUGCUUUAUCGCUGUUUGUUGGAUCAGACACACGUCUAGAGUGCUCAAAAUAAAUCUUGGCAACGUUUCAGGAAAUAAUUCUGAGAUCUUUGAUAAUAAAGACAACUGUUAAUUCCUAAUUUAUAAUUAAACACAGACUUUCUGCCACGUAUAACAGUUAUAGAGUAACGAGAUCACUGGGGUGUGCUGUAAAUAUGUAACUUCUGGUUCUCAGCUCUUAAGGGUUUUAGGUGGAAAUUCACCAGCAGUUCAGAAGCUGAACUUCCAUCUAGUCUGAAUGAUAGUUCAUAAGGUUUCACAAAUGGUAAAUUAUUGCAUAAAGAAACAGAAGAGAUGUUAUCUUGUCCAAAUCUUGCUUUGUUUUCUGAGAACAAGCAAAGUGUGCAAUAAACUGACUUGAUCAGC